Molecule: long non-coding RNA, 7835 nt
Filed under: Lactuca sativa (garden lettuce)
Lineage: Eukaryota; Viridiplantae; Streptophyta; Magnoliopsida; Asterales; Asteraceae
Description: long non-coding RNA (LSAT_LNC002755)
Source: RNAcentral
ACGAAUAUCCUCGUCACUCACACCGCUCGUACUUGCCCCGUGCCGCGGUCUAACCAUGAUAUCUCUGAAAUACAACAUAAAACUAUCAGAGAUUCUACCGAGUAUAAUCGUACUCGACACGCAACCCUACUCAGUCCCAGAUAUCCAGGGAUUCUUACUUGGGCCUCCCACUGACCCGGUGUCCUCGGUAGUACGGGCCCAAUACUACCGACCACACCGCAUCAAUGUUCAUCCCAAGUCCUCCUCCCCAAACUCCGGAUAGUGAGUACUCUACUUCUGAUACGCUCUAUCUACCCGCAUACUAGCAAAGCAUCUCAUAUAGGCAACUUCCCUAGACUAAGGCAUCACAAAUCAGGCCACUCUAGUCCUAUCAUGAAUACCUAGUCUUCUAGCAUGCAUAACAAUUCAUAUCAUAUAAUAUUGUAAGGUAUUUUGGGGAUCUUUACCGUUCGGGCGCUGACUGAUCGUACACACUGCUUCUUUCUUGCUUACCACAAAACCAUUUACAAAAGUUUAUGCCUUUAUUUGAAAAGUUUCCUCAAAUCCUCGGUUUGAGUUCAGUUACCCCCGAAGGUGCACCCGAAUCCCUCAAACCAAGGCUCUGAUACCAAUUGUAACAACUCAAAUUUUUCAAACAAAUUUUUCAUUUUUAAAACAUAAUUGUUUCCAUUAAAAACAAGGCAUAAAUAGUUUAAUUAUUCGGUCAAUACAAUUAUUCAAACUCCCAAGAUCAUAAAACAAUCUUCAGUGUGUAUCGAUCAUGCCGGCGCCUUCCCACGGUCCUCGCUAGUACCUGAAAUACAUGCACAACAACUGUAAGCAUAAAUGCUUAGUGAGUUCCCCAAUAUACACUUACACACAUACGCCUUUCCAGGCCCUGACCUUCCGGUCCUCAAUACAACGCCUUCCGGCCCAUAACAUAAUCGCCUUCCGGCCCAUAACAUAUUGCCUUCCGGCCCACAUAUCAUACAUAGCACAUAUAACAAUUAACUUACCACAUAUAGCAUACAUAUCACAUAACAUAUCCGACCUUCCGGUCACACAGUCAAACCCUUCCGGGUACAGUAUAGUGAGAAGACUCACCUCGUAAAUGCUGAAAGCUAGCAACUCCUGAAAUCACUCGCGCACAAACCAACGAGCUACAACCCUCCUAUAACAUUACAUAACUCAUUAACACUCAUAUCUUCUAAGUGUGACUAUCCCUAAGAAGUCAGACUUAGGUCAACUCUGGUCAACGGUCAACGGUCAACUCGACUGGACUCGGCGAGUACCAUGGCGACUCGGCGAGUCUAGUCGUCCUCACAAAUUCCUGAAUAUUCCCUUUCUACUCGUCGAGUAUCCCUCUUGACUCGACGAGGUCCUCGUGGAAGAAUCGCGGGGCCACCCCGACUCCACUCGCCGAGUCUGAAGAACAACUCGGCGAGUCCCAGUAAAUCUUCAAGCUACUCGCCGAGUCUGAAGAACAACUCGGCGAGUCCAUGCCAUGCAGACGAGCAACUGCUUCCUGAAUUACGUAUGGUCCCGAGAUAUACAACCAUGGGACUUUCUGGACUUCUAAACAUCUCAUUACUGGGGUAUAAACGUUUGGGUAAUAACAUAAUAACCCAUCUAAUCACUAAAUGGGUUUCAUAAACCCUAAACUCACAUACACAUCAAAAUAACAGAUUUGGUCCGAGUAUUACCUGAAAACGCACUCUCUGUGUCCCCCAAAUCUCAGGACUCAAUCCUCCUUGAUAUUCCUUUAGCCAAAUCCCUCUUCUUCUUGCCUAACCAAUUCUUCCAAGUUCCAAAGCUUUCUCCCUUGCUCUAGGCGUCCACAGCGAUUAGGGUUUCUCUCAAUUGACCAAAAGACUGAAAAUGACGGCCUAAGAGGCGUUAAAUACGAUCCAAACUGAACGGUUAGGGUUUCUGCUGAACAGCGUCGACUCGCCGAGUCCAUAUCUGGACUCGUCGAGUCCAGUCGCGGACCCGCGACCAAGUCUGCGAUCCUACUCGGCGAGUCUAGGCUCCAACUCGCCGAGUCCCCUCUUAAAUCACCCCAAAAACAUAAUUUUAAUAAUACCUGAGAUUCCGGGCUGUUACAACUCUCCCCCACUUGGAUUAGACUUCGCCCUCGAAGUCUCACUCUGCAAAUAGUUCCGGAUGCUGCUCCCGCAUUUCGCGCUCCGGUUCCCAAGUCAUUUCUGAUCCCUUACGGUGUUGCCAUUGAACCAACACCAGAGGUACCUCCUUGUUCCUCAGAACCUUGAUCUUCCGAUCCCUGAUAGCCACUGGUCUCUCCGCGUAAUUCAGGCUCGCAUCCACCUGAAUAUCCUCCAAUGGAACCACUGCCGACUCAUCGGCUAUGCACUUCCUCAACUGCGACACAUGAAAAGUGUCAUGGAUCUGACCCAACUCCGCUGGCAACUCCAACCGAUAGGCUACCCGACCUAUCCUUGCAAUCACACGAAAUGGCCCAAUAUACCGGGGCCCCAACUUGCCCCUCUUCCUGAAUCGAAUCACUCCUUUCCAAGGAGAGACCUUCAGGAGAACGAAGUCGCCGACCUGAAAUUCAAGCUCGGAUCGGCGCCUGUCUGCAUAACUCUUCUGUCGGCUCUGGGCAGUCAAUAACCUUUGUCUCACUCGCUGAAUCUGCUCUGUCGUCUGGAGCACGAUCUCCGUGCUGCCCAUCACUCUCUGUCCCACCUCUCCCCAGCAAAUGGGGGUCCGACACCUCCUACCAUACAACAGCUCGAAAGGUGGCAUACCAAUGCUCGAAUGAUGGCUGUUGUUGUAGGAAAACUCUGCCAAUGGUAAAUACGCAUCCCAACUACCCCCGAAGUCUAACACACACGCUCGGAGCAUGUCCUCCAGCGUCUGAAUUGUCCGCUCGCUCUGACCGUCUGUCUGGGGAUGGUAUGCGGUACUAAAAUGCAAUUUAGUACCCAGCUCCUCAUGGAAUUUCUUCCAGAAUCUGGAAGUAAAGCGCACAUCACGGUCUGACACAAUCGAGAUCGGCACCCCGUGCCGAGAUACCACCUCUCUCACGUAUAUCUCCGCCAAUUUCUCCGCCGAAGAACUCUCACUGAUGGCAAGGAAGUGUGCACUCUUUGUCAACCUAUCCACGAUCACCCAAAUUGCGUCAACUCCCCUAGCAGUCCUCGGCAAUUUGGUGAUAAAAUCCAUAGUGAUCUGUUCCCACUUCCACUCGGGGAUCUCCAAUGGCUGUAACUUGCCAUGCGGUCUCUGGUGCUCAGCCUUAACCCUACGGCAGGUCAAGCACCUCUCAACGAACCAUGCCACGUCCCUCUUCAUACAGGGCCACCAAUAUUCCUUCCUUAAAUCCAAAUACAUCUUUGUAGCACCGGGAUGGAUCGAGAAUUUCGAUCUAUGAGCCUCUUCCAUCAACGUAAUACGCGUACCGCCCACGAACGGUACCCAAAUCCGACCCUGAAACGUCAUAAGGCCUCGACUAUCCUUGACAAACUCUGAGAUUAACCCCACAACCCGCUCUUUCUUCUGCAUUUCUGGUCGCACAGCCUCUGCCUGGGCCCCACGAAUAGCGUCCAAUACUGGAGUCAUCACAGUCAGUCUCAAGCAUACAUCUCGCAAUGGAGUGCUCUCCGCCCUGCGGCUCAAUGCAUCGGCUACCACAUUAGCCUUGCCUGGGUGGUACAGGAUCUCACAAUCAUAAUCCUUGACCACAUCCAACCACCUCCUCUGACGCAUAUUUAGGUUGGGUUGAUCCAUCAAAUACUUCAAACUCUUAUGGUCCGUGUAUAUCGUACAUCGAACCCCAUACAAGUAGUGACGCCAAAUCUUGAGAGCGAACACUACUGCCCCCAACUCUAAAUCAUGCGUGGGAUAUCUCGCCUCAUGAGGCUUCAGCUGCCUCGACGCAUAAGCUAUCACAUGACCCCUCUGCAUCAACACUGCACCCAAUCCCGAAAUCGAUGCGUCGCAAUAUACCACGAAAUCUUCCAUCCCUUCUGGGAGAGCUAAUACCGGGGCUUCGCACAAUCUCUGGCGAAGUGUCUCAAAGGAGGUCUGCUGCUCGGGCCCCCAUGAGAAUGUAACACCCUUCCGGGUCAAUCUGGUGAGUGGCACUGCGAUCUUGGAGAAAUCCUUGAUAAAUCUCCGAUAAUACCCUGCCAACCCAAGGAAACUUCUGAUCUCAGAGGGUGACUUCGGCACCUCCCAACUCAUCACCGCCUCAACCUUGGCCGGAUCGACCAAUAUCCCUUUCUGAUUAACCACAUGUCCUAGAAACUGGACCUCCCGCAACCAGAAGUCACAUUUGGAGAACUUUGCAUAAAGCUUCUCCGACCUCAAUACCUCAAGGACCUCCCUCAAAUGCUCCUCAUGCUGCUCUCUAGAUCUCGAAUACACCAGAAUGUCGUCGAUAAAUACGAUCACUGACCGAUCCAACAUCGGCCUGCAUACCCUGUUCAUGAGAUCCAUGAACACAGCCGGGGCAUUGGUGAGUCCAAAAGGCAUCACCACAAACUCAUAAUGCCCAUAUCGCGUCCUAAACGCUGUCUUCUGGACGUCUUCAUCCCGUACUCUCACCUGAUGGUAUCCUGACCUCAGAUCGAUCUUGGAAAACCAAGAUGCUCCCUGCAACUGAUCGAAUAAAUCAUCGAUCCUCGGCAACGGGUAACGGUUCUUGACCGUUAGCUUGUUCAACUCCCGGUAAUCAAUGCACAUCCGGUGUGAACCAUCCUUCUUCUUGACGAACAGAAUAGGUGCUCCCCAUGGCGAGCUGCUCGGCCGAAUGAAUCCCUUUCCCAGCAACUCCUGGAGUUGCGAGGACAACUCUUGCAUCUCUGGAGGUGCAAGACGAUAGGGCACUUUAGCAAUAGGCGCGGCCCCCGGAACCAGAUCGAUACCAAACUCUACUUGCCUCACAGGAGGUACUCCCGGCAGUUCCUCGGGAAAAACAUCUGAAAACUCACGCACCACAGGGACCUCCUUAACUGACUUCGGUCUCUCGGAAACCUCCCGCGUAUCCAUCACAUACGCCACAAAACCCUUACAGCCCUGCUGUAGACACUGCCUCGCCCUAGCGGCCGAACAAAAAGCUGAUCCUGAACGGGUACCCUCACCGUACACCGAAAGAACUCCCCCACUAUGGUCUCGUAUGGUCACCAACUGACGCUCGCAGUCGAUGACAGCGCCGAAUCGGCUCAACCAGUCCAUGCCCACGAUAACACAGACAUCCCCCAUCGCAAUAGGAAUCAGGUCAAUCGGGAAUUCAACCCCGAAAAUCUCUAGUACACAUCCCCGAAGAACCUCCGUAGCACGAAUCACUUUCUCGUCAGCUAUAGAAACUCUCAAAGGUCGACUCAACGACUCACGACUAACGCCGAUCUGCUGACUAAAGGCUAAGGACACAAAGGACCUACUCGCACCCGAGUCAAAUAACACUAAGGCAGGCACAGAGUUCACAAGGAAAGUACCUACGCGCAUAAUAACAUAAGCAUAACAUAUCGACAUUAAAAUAAAUACAUGAAUUACAACAUACCUGCCACAACAUCGGGCGCAGCGCGGACCUCCUCCGCAGUCAGCUGAAAGGCUCUCCCACGAGCCCUCGGGGCCUCGACCUUCACCGGUCGAGUCUCAGUAGUCCUGGCAACAGGUGCAGAUCCCUGACGAAGCUGCGGACACUCGGCCUUCCGAUGGCCGGUCUGGUUGCAAUGGAAGCAAACCAUAAACCCCUUGGGGCACUCCCUAGCAAUGUGCCCCUCCUUGCCGCACUUGUAGCAAGCACCGGCUCGACACGCCCCAUCGUGACCCUUGCCGCACUUUACGCAAGUGCGGUUCUUCGAACCUCCCGUCCUCGAAUCGGCGGACUUGAUCCGCUUGGCUGCCGGCUGAGACUGAGCCGGUCGCCGGUCUGCCUGCUGAGACUCGGCCUCCUCCCUGGCCUGAGUCUCUAACUCGAUCUCACGCUUCCUGGCAUUCGCCUGAAGCUCAGUAAAAGUAUGGUAAGUGGAGUUUGACACAAACUCCCGGAUCUCCCUCCUCAGAACACCCAAGUACCGGCUCAUCCGAGCCUGCUCUGUGGCCACCAGCUCGGGGCAAAACAUCGCCCUCUCAUGGAACUUCCGCGUGAUCGCCGCCACCGAAUCAGUACCCUGCUUGAGGGUUAAGAACUCCUGAACCAAUCGUUCCCGCUCCACCGGGGGAACGUACUCAUCCCUGAACAUGGUAGUGAACCCCUCCCAUGUCACUGCCGCAGUCUCUGCUAAAGUGAAGUUCGCCGUCACGAACUUCCACCAGUCCUUGGCUCCCAGACGGAGCUGGUUCAAAGCGAACCGUACCCUCAGGUGCUCCGGGCAUGAACAAGUGUAGAAGCACCCCUCUAUAUCUGCGAUCCACCUCAUCGCAGCAAUCGGAUCCUGCGUCCCAUCGAACUCUGGUGGCUUCGUGUUGCUGAACUCUCGGAACAGCAAUGAAUCACCCCCCUGUGGCCUAGCAGCGGCCACAGCUGCGGUAGCUGCAGCGGUUGCAGCCUCAGUCAAUGCGGCGUACCGCUCGUCGAACGUCUCCAUCAGAGUGGUCUUGAUAGACCCAAACAUCUCCGGGAUCUCAGCCCGGAUCGCCGCCGCCACCUCCUCGUGGAUCAUCUGACGAAUAUCCUCGUCACUCACACCGCUCGUACUCGCCCCGUGCCGCGGUCUAACCAUGAUAUCUCUGAAAUACAACAUAAAACUAUCAGAGAUUCUACCGAGCAUAAUCGUACUCGACACGCAACCCUACUCAGACCCAGAUAUCCAGGGAUUCUUACUUGGGCCUCCCACUGACCCGGUGUCCUCGGUAGUACGGGCCCAAUACUACCGACCACACCGCAUCAAUGUUCAUCCCAAGUCCUCCUCCCCAAACUCCAGAUAGUGAGUACUCUACUUCUGAUACGCUCUCUUUACCCGCAUACUAGCAAAGCAUCUCAUAUAAGCAACUUCCCUAGACUAAGGCAUCACAAAUCAGGCCACUCUAGUCCUAUCAUGAAUACCUAGUCUUCUAGCAUGCAUAACAAUUCAUAUCAUAUAAUAUCGUAAGGUAUUUUGGGGAUCUUUUACCGUUCGGGCGCUGACUGAUCGUACACACUGCUUCUUUCUUGCUUACUACAAAACCAUUUACAAAAUUUAUGCCUUUAUUUGAAAAGUUUCCUCAAAUCCUCGGUUUGAGUUCAGUUACCCCCGAAGGUGCACCCGAAUCCCUCAAACCAAGGCUCUGAUACCAUUUGUAACAACUCAAAUUUUUCAAACAAAUUUUUCAUUUUGAAAACAUAAUAUUUUCCAUUAAAAUUAAGGCAUAAAAAGUAUGAUUAUUCAGUCAAUACAAUUAUUCAACUCCCAAGAUCCUAAAACAAUCUUCAGUGUGUAUCGAUCAUGCCGGCGCCUUCCCACGGUCCUCGCUAGUACCUGAAAUACAUACAUACACAACAACUGUAAGCAUAAAUGCUUAGUGAGUUCCCCAAUAUACACUUACACACAUACGCCUUUCCAGGCCCUGACCUUCUGGUCCUCAUUACAACGCCUUCCGGCCCAUAACAUAAUCGCCUUCCGGCCCGUAACAUAUUGCCUUCCGGCCCACAUAUCAUACAUAGCACAUAUAAUACUUAACUUACCACAUACAGCAUACAUAUCCAUAUAACACUUAGCUUACCACAUAUAGCAUACAUAUCACAUAACAUAAUCGACCUUCCGGUCACACAAUCAAACUCUUCCGGGUACAGUAUAGUGAGAAGACUCACCUCGAAAAUGCUGAAAGCUAGCAACUCCUGAAAUCACUCGCGCACAACCAACGAGCUACAACCCUCCUAUAACAUUACAUAACUCAUUAACACUCAUAAC